UACGUAGGGGGCAAGCGUUGUCCGGAUUUAUUGGGCGUAAAGAGCGUGUAGGCGGCCAGGUAGGUCAGCUGUGAAAACUCGAGGCUCAACCUCGAGACGUCGGUUGAAACCACCUGGCUAGAGUCCGGAAGAGGAGAGUGGAAUUCCUGGUGUAGCGGUGAAAUGCGCAGAUAUCAGGAAGAACACCCGUGGCGAAGGCUGCUCUCUGGGACGGUACUUACGCUGAGACGCGAAAGCGUGGGGAGCGAACAGG
This 253-nucleotide ribosomal RNA is filed under the name uncultured bacterium. RNAcentral's name for it is "partial 16S ribosomal RNA". It matches the Rfam family "Bacterial small subunit ribosomal RNA", at positions 524 to 776 of the family's 1533-position model. The record is from RNAcentral.